AGCUCUGAGGUGUUUAGACAUAUUAGAUUGCAAACCUAAAGAAGUAGGCUCACCGCCUUCCAGGGCUU
RNAcentral lists this transfer RNA (68 nucleotides) under Chromis acares (midget chromis). RNAcentral describes it as "tRNA-Cys". Lineage: Eukaryota; Metazoa; Chordata; Actinopteri; Pomacentridae. The record is from RNAcentral.